Molecule: ribosomal RNA, 86 nt
Filed under: Stenotrophomonas maltophilia
Lineage: Bacteria; Pseudomonadati; Pseudomonadota; Gammaproteobacteria; Lysobacterales; Lysobacteraceae
Also listed under: 9 other names
Source: RNAcentral
CGAUCCCAUCCCGAACUCGGAAGUGAAACGCAGCUGCGCCGAUGGUAGUGUGGCUCAAGCCAUGCGAGAGUAGGUCAUCGCCAGGG